AGGACGAACGCUGGCGGCGUGCUUAACACAUGCAAGUCGAGCGGAAAGGCCCUUCGGGGUACUCGAGCGGCGAACGGGUGAGUAACACGUGAGCAACCUGCCCCUGGCUCUGGGAUAGCCUCCGGAAACGGGGAUUAAUACCGGACAUGACCUGCUGCCGCAUGGUGGCGGGUGGAAGUUUUCGGCCAGGGUGGGGCUCGCGGCCUAUCAGCUUGUUGGGGGGGUGACGGCCCACCAAGGCGACGACGGGUAGCCGGCCUGAGAGGGCGACCGGCCACACUGGGACUGAGACACGGCCCAGACUCCUACGGGAGGCAGCAGUGGGGAAUAUUGCGCAAUGGGCGGAAGCCUGACGCAGCGACGCCGCGUGCGGGAUGAAGGCCUUCGGGUUGUAAACCGCUUUCACCAGGGGCGAAGCGAGAGUGACGGUACCGUGGGGAAGAAGCGCCGGCUAACUACGCGCCAGCAGCCGC
RNAcentral lists this ribosomal RNA (473 nucleotides) under uncultured bacterium. Its description in RNAcentral is "SSU rRNA". It matches the Rfam family "Bacterial small subunit ribosomal RNA", at positions 26 to 518 of the family's 1533-position model. The record is from RNAcentral.